This is a long non-coding RNA of Lemur catta (Ring-tailed lemur), 217 nucleotides long. RefSeq lists it as uncharacterized. The transcript is spliced from 3 exons. The record is from RefSeq and is a predicted model, not a curated record. Lineage: Eukaryota; Metazoa; Chordata; Mammalia; Primates; Lemuridae.
CACAACUGCAGACCUCAAUCUACAAUACUCAUGACAGGUGAGCUCACCGCAAUAGCAACAGGAGGUGGCUACAAGAUUAUUCCAGUAGCACAGUGUGCACAGUGUGCUGACUUUAUGCAGGGGAAAAGGGUGAAGUGAAGAUGAGAGUGGCCUUCUUGCUUCUGAUGUUUUCUGACAUGACAAGGUACAGUAUUUUGAGAUAGUGUGCCCUGAAUCA